UUGAAGAGUUUGAUCAUGGCUCAGAUUGAACGCUGGCGGCAGGCCUAAGACAUGCAAGUCGAGCGAGAAAGCCCUUCGGGGUGAGUACAGCGGCGGACGGGUGAGUAACGCGUAGGAAUCUACCCAGUAGUGGGGGACAACUAGUGGAAACGCUAGCUAAUACCGCAUACGCCCCAAGGGGGAAAGCGGGGGAUCUUCGGACCUCGUGCUAUUGGAUGAGCCUGCGUAAGAUUAGCUUGUUGGUGGGGUAAUGGCCCACCAAGGCGACGAUCUUUAGCUGGUCUGAGAGGAUGAUCAGCCACACCGGGACUGAGACACGGCCCGGACUCCUACGGGAGGCAGCAGUCGGGAAUAUUGCGCAAUGGGGGAAACCCUGACGCAGCCAUGCCGCGUGUGUGAAGAAGGCCCUAGGGUUGUAAAGCACUUUCAAUUGGGAGGAAAAGCUAAUGGUUAAUAGCCAUUAGCCCUGACGUUACCUUUAGAAGAAGCACCGGCUAACUCCGUGCCAGCAGCCGCGGUAAUACGGAGGAUCCAAGCGUUAUCCGGAAUCAUUGGGUUUAAAGGGUCCGUAGGCGGAUUUUUAAGUCAGUGGUGAAAGCCGACAGCUCAACUGUCGAACUGCCAUUGAUACUGGAAAUCUUGAGUACAAAUGAAGUAGGCGGAAUGAGUCAUGUAGCGGUGAAAUGCAUAGAUAUGACUCAGAACACCGAUUGCGAAGGCAGCUUACUAACAUGUAACUGACGCUGAGGGACGAAAGCGUGGGGAGCGAACAGGAU
RNAcentral lists this ribosomal RNA (776 nucleotides) under Ctenophora environmental sample. RNAcentral describes it as "partial Bacterial small subunit ribosomal RNA". It matches the Rfam family "Bacterial small subunit ribosomal RNA", at positions 1 to 778 of the family's 1533-position model. The record is from RNAcentral. Lineage: Eukaryota; Metazoa; Ctenophora.